GAUGAACGCUGGCGGCGUGCCUAAUACAUGCAAGUCGAGCGAACGGACGAGAAGCUUGCUUCUCUGAUGUUAGCGGCGGACGGGUGAGUAACACGUGGAUAACCUACCUAUAAGACUGGGAUAACUUCGGGAAACCGUAGCUAAUACCGGAUAAUAUUUUGAACCGCAUGGUUCAAAAGUGAAAGACGGUCUUGCUGUUACUUAUAGAUGGAUCCGCGCUGCAUUGGCUAGUUGGUAAGGUAACGGCUUACCAAGGCAACGAUGCAUAGCCGACCUGAGAGGGUGAUCGGCCACACUGGAACUGGAACACGGUCCAGACUCCUACGGGAGGCAGCAGUGGGGAAUCUUCGGCAAUGGGCGAAAGCCUGACGGAGCAACGCCGCGUGAGUGAUGAAGGUCUUCGGAUCGUAAAACUCUGUUAUUAGGGAAGAACAUAUGUGUAAGUAACUGUGCACAUCUUGACGGUACCUAAUCAGAAAGCCACGGCUAACUACGUG
Molecule: ribosomal RNA, 497 nt
Filed under: uncultured bacterium
Lineage: Bacteria
Description: partial 16S ribosomal RNA
Rfam family: Bacterial small subunit ribosomal RNA
Source: RNAcentral